CAGUAGCCGCGGUAACACGAAGGGGGCUAGCGUUGUUCGGAUUUACUGGGCGUAAAGCGCACGUAGGCGGAUCGAUCAGUCAGGGGUGAAAUCCCAGAGCUCAACUCUGGAACUGCCUUUGAUACUGUCGAUCUGGAGUAUGGAAGAGGUGAGUGGAAUUCCGAGUGUAGAGGUGAAAUUCGUAGAUAUUCGGAGGAACACCGGUGGCGAAGGCGGCUCACUGGUCCAUUACUGACGCUGAGGCGCGAAAGCGUGGGGAGCAAACAGGAUUAGAUACCCCCGUAGUCCCUGUCUCUUAUAC
This 301-nucleotide ribosomal RNA is filed under the name uncultured bacterium. Its description in RNAcentral is "partial 16S ribosomal RNA". It matches the Rfam family "Bacterial small subunit ribosomal RNA", at positions 509 to 807 of the family's 1533-position model. The record is from RNAcentral.